UACGUAGGGUGCGAGCGUUGUCCGGAAUUACUGGGCGUAAAGAGCUCGUAGGUGGUUUGUCGCGUUGUUCGUGAAAACUCACAGCUCAACUGUGGGCGUGCGGGCGAUACGGGCGGACUUGAGUACUGCAGGGGAGACUGGAAUUCCUGGUGUAGCGGUGGAAUGCGCAGAUAUCAGGAGGAACACCGGUGGCGAAGGCGGGUCUCUGGGCAGUAACUGACGCUGAGGAGCGAAAGCGUGGGGAGCGAACAGG
Molecule: ribosomal RNA, 253 nt
Filed under: uncultured bacterium
Lineage: Bacteria
Description: partial 16S ribosomal RNA
Rfam family: Bacterial small subunit ribosomal RNA
Source: RNAcentral